This 506-nucleotide ribosomal RNA is filed under the name uncultured bacterium. Its description in RNAcentral is "partial 16S ribosomal RNA". It matches the Rfam family "Bacterial small subunit ribosomal RNA", at positions 29 to 523 of the family's 1533-position model. The record is from RNAcentral.
AGUGAACGCUGGCGGUAGGCCUAACACAUGCAAGUCGAACGGCAGCACGGGAGAGCUUGCUCUCUGGGUGGCGAGUGGCGGACGGGUGAGGAAUACAUCGGAAUCUACUCUGUCGUGGGGGAUAACGUAGGGAAACUUACGCUAAUACCGCAUACGACCUACGGGUGAAAGCAGGGGACCUUCGGGCCUUGCGCGAUUGAAUGAGCCGAUGUCGGAUUAGCUAGUUGGCGGGGUAAAGGCCCACCAAGGCGACGAUCCGUAGCUGGUCUGAGAGGAUGAUCAGCCACACUGGAACUGAGACACGGUCCAGACUCCUACGGGAGGCAGCAGUGGGGAAUAUUGGACAAUGGGCGCAAGCCUGAUCCAGCCAUACCGCGUGGGUGAAGAAGGCCUUCGGGUUGUAAAGCCCUUUUGUUGGGAAAGAAAUCCAGCUGGCUAAUACCCGGUUGGAAUGACGGUACCCAAAGAAUAAGCACCGGCUAACUUCGUGCCAGCCGCCGCUGUAA